This 1209-nucleotide long non-coding RNA is filed under the name Cricetulus griseus (Chinese hamster). Its description in RNAcentral is "lncRNA (ENSCGRG00015035357.1)". Lineage: Eukaryota; Metazoa; Chordata; Mammalia; Rodentia; Cricetidae. The record is from RNAcentral.
GUCAGUCUGUCAGGCAGCUCCUCAGUUGAGGUUCCCUCUUCCCCGUGACUGUAGUUUGUCAAAUUAACAAGAAUUAAUCAGUGCAGGUGUUGUGAAACAAUUUCCACCUGAAAAAUGAGAAAUAAAAAUAGUAUCUUAACGAGAUUCACUCAUGAAUCUGCGGCAGCAGCAUGGCCUGGGAGAGCUCAUCCCUGCUCUGCUUUGUAAGCUCCAUGGCUCAAGGCCAGCACGGCCGGCUCAGUCCCAUGUCCUGCUUCCUGUUCCGAGCCCCUCACGCAAACCUUGGGUGUCUCUGGCUAUUGAUAGUUGCACAGGUGCUCCCAGGUCGAUGGACUUCAGACGCGGGUCACUGCCAUCAGGAAACAGCUGAGUCACGAACUCCCAGGUCCAAGGGGAGGAAGCAGAUUCCAGGGUCUGUGGAGGACUGCCCGGCCUAUGUUGUAAGAAACAUACAAAGCAGAAGGAAAGCCUGCUCCUCCCUGGGACUCUCCUUGCUCUGUAGGCCUCGAGAUUCCUGCAGACUCAAACCACCCAUCCUCCCCGCCCAGCCGGAGCUAAGGGCCAACUCCAUCAGGCAGCAGCCUCUGAUAAGUUCGGAAAACAAGGAGAAUUUGAAAGGGGGAGGAUCAGCCACCGUCCGUGUCCCCUGCAAUGACUAGGGGCUCUUCCACUUCGGCCUGCUGGCCUCAGGCCUCCCACCCAGGAUGUGCGGCAUCCAGUGGCGGGUCCACGGCUCGGGAGUAGGAGGUUGCGACACCAGCACAAUAGCCACCAUUUCCGAUGGUUGCGCGCUCCCCGCCCGCUCCUCCCAGGGCACAGGCCUCGGGAGCACUCCUCGCCCAUUUGGUGGCCCAGGUGUUCCCCAGCGGCUUCCAGGAACUUAAGUGUCAACGAAAGCAUGCUUCCUUUCUGCAAACAAGGAGACUCUGUGGGUCUGUGGAUCUGGGUCACCCCGCCCUUUGCGGUCUGGGGACCCUGCGCCCCAGGCUCCCGAGAUGGCCACCAGAGGGCGCACGAGCGCCGCCACGAGCAGGACCUCCGCCCCGGGCGCGGGACCCGGGCCAGGGCGCUGCGGGGGGGGGGAUCAGACCCGGCCUGGUCACACGGUGCCCCUGGGCAGGGUGACCCAGUGAUCUGGCUCUGCGGAGGGGCCACCGUGAUGGCCCUCUCCAGGACCCGAACCAACAGGGAUCACCAGCCCAGAACCCA